CACGUGGGCCCCGAGGGUGUAGAGCAAGAGACAGCGGUGUCAGGAGCAGCCGCUCGGAGACCUUAGCGAGACUGAGCACGCAGCAGACUCCCCAAGUGCCCUCGAGUCCAUCCAGCUGACGGCCCUGUGACCCACUUGCCCACACCAUGCAGCCCCAGUCUGUUCUGCACAGCGGCUACUUCCACCCACUGCUUCGGGCCUGGCAGACAACCGCCACCACCCUCAAUGCCUCCAACCUCAUCUACCCCAUCUUUGUCACGGAUGUUCCUGAUGACGUCCAGCCUAUUGCCAGCCUCCCAGGAGUGGCCAGGUAUGGUGUGAACCGGCUGGAAGAGAUGCUGAGGCCCCUGGUGGAAGAGGGCCUGCGCUGUGUCCUGAUCUUUGGCGUCCCCAGCAGAGUUCCCAAGGAUGAGCGUGGCUCUGCUGCUGACUCUGAGGAGUCCCCGGCUAUUGAGGCAAUCUGUCUGUUGAGGAAGACCUUCCCUGACCUCCUGGUGGCCUGCGAUGUCUGCCUGUGCCCCUACACCUCCCAUGGUCACUGCGGGCUCCUGAGUGAAAAUGGAGCAUUCUGGGCUGAGGAGAGCCGCCAGCGGCUGGCAGAGGUGGCACUGGCCUAUGCCAAGGCAGGAUGUCAAGUAGUAGCCCCAUCAGACAUGAUGGAUGGACGUGUGGAAGCCAUCAAGGAGGCCCUGAUGGCACACGGAUUUGGCAACAGGGUGUCAGUGAUGAGCUAUAGCGCCAAAUUUGCUUCUUGUUUCUAUGGACCUUUCCGGGAUGCGGCUCAGUCAAGCCCAGCCUUUGGAGACCGCCGCUGCUACCAGCUGCCCCCCGGAGCACGAGGCCUGGCCCUCCGAGCGGUGGACCGAGAUGUACGGGAAGGAGCUGACAUGCUCAUGGUGAAGCCUGGAAUGCCCUACCUGGACAUUGUGCGGGAGGUCAAGAACAAGCACCCUGAGCUCCCUCUCGCUGUAUACCACGUCUCUGGAGAGUUUGCCAUGCUGUGGCACGGAGCCCAGGCCGGGGCAUUUAAUCUCAAGGCUGCUGUACUAGAGGCCAUGACCGCCUUCCGCAGAGCAGGUGCUGACAUCAUUAUCACCUACUACACGCCUCAGCUGCUGCAGUGGCUGAAGGAGAAGUGACGGGGAGAGUGUGCAAGACCCAAGAACUAGAAAUUUAAAAAGUUCCUGGGGCCUUGAAGAAGUGAAAACCAAAGUGGGGAGACAGAGCCACAAGCAACUUGUCCAAAAUCACAUAGCAAGCCAGUGGCAGACCAAAGCUGCAAUUCAGGUCUCCUAACUCCAAGCCCAGUGCUCCAAACUGGGGAAGGGAUUGGUUCUAGAGGGACUUUAGCAUUAUAUGUAUUAUCAUUAUUCAUGUAUUAUGUACAACAAGGAUAUAUUCACGUAUGUUUGUGUAAAUAAAAAUAAAUAAAAACGUAUACAUAAAAAA
Molecule: RNA transcript, 1449 nt
Organism: Galeopterus variegatus (Sunda flying lemur)
Lineage: Eukaryota; Metazoa; Chordata; Mammalia; Dermoptera; Cynocephalidae
Gene: ALAD
Gene name: aminolevulinate dehydratase
Exons: 13
Source: RefSeq, a predicted model, not a curated record